CUAGGACAUAUAAAGAUACAAGAAGUUGGCAGUCUGUCACCUGAAAGAGGGCUCUCACUGGAAUCCAAUCAUGCUGAUACCUUGUACUUGAACUUCCAGCUUCCAAAACUAAUAUGAAUCACUCAGUACUAAUGUGUGAUCUGCUGAAAGUGGUCAUCUUCAGGCGAUAAUAUUUGCUCCUGGGGUUGUACUUAUCUGUUUUCUAAGCAGUCAAGCAAACAUGGAACAUUCCUGAUGCAUAGUACAACAUCUAAAAACAAAGAGCCAAG
Molecule: long non-coding RNA, 269 nt
Organism: Canis lupus familiaris (dog)
Lineage: Eukaryota; Metazoa; Chordata; Mammalia; Carnivora; Canidae
Exons: 3
Source: RefSeq, a predicted model, not a curated record